Molecule: ribosomal RNA, 872 nt
Filed under: Ramularia leonuri
Lineage: Eukaryota; Fungi; Ascomycota; Dothideomycetes; Mycosphaerellales; Mycosphaerellaceae
Description: eukaryotic LSU rRNA
Rfam family: Eukaryotic large subunit ribosomal RNA
Source: RNAcentral
CUUAAGCAUAUCAAUAAGCGGAGGAAAAGAAACCAACAGGGAUUGCCCUAGUAACGGCGAGUGAAGCGGCAACAGCUCAAAUUUGAAAUCUGGCGCAAGCCCGAGUUGUAAUUUGUAGAGGAUGCUUCUAGGUAGCGACCGGUCUAAGUUCCUUGGAACAGGACGUCAUAGAGGGUGAGAAUCCCGUAUGUGACCGGCCCGCACCUUCUACGUAGCUCCUUCGACGAGUCGAGUUGUUUGGGAAUGCAGCUCUAAAUGGGAGGUAAAUUUCUUCUAAAGCUAAAUACCGGCCAGAGACCGAUAGCGCACAAGUAGAGUGAUCGAAAGAUGAAAAGCACUUUGGAAAGAGAGUUAAAAAGCACGUGAAAUUGUUGAAAGGGAAGCGCUCACAACCAGACUUCUGGGCGGUGUUCCGCCGGUCUUCUGACCGGUCUACUCACCGUCCCGAGGCCAACAUCAUCUGGGACCGCUGGAUAAGACCUCAGGAAUGUAGCUUCCCUCGGGAAGUGUUAUAGCCUGUGGUGAUGCAGCGCGUCUCGGGUGAGGUCCGCGCUUCGGCAAGGAUGUUGGCGUAAUGGUUGUCAGCGGCCCGUCUUGAAACACGGACCAAGGAGUCUAACAUCUAUGCGAGUGUUCGGGUGUCAAACCCCUACGCGUAAUGAAAGUGAACGGAGGUGGGAAGCGUAAGCUGCACCAUCGACCGAUCCUGAUGUCCUCGGAUGGAUUUGAGUAAGAGCAUAGCUGUUGGGACCCGAAAGAUGGUGAACUAUGCCUGAAUAGGGUGAAGCCAGAGGAAACUCUGGUGGAGGCUCGCAGCGGUUCUGACGUGCAAAUCGAUCGUCAAAUUUGGGUAUAGGGGCGAAAGACUAAUC